AGUGAACGAGGGAGGGAGGAAGAACACAUGCAAGUCGAACGGCAGCACAGUAAGAGCUUGCUCUUACGGGUGGCGAGUGGCGGACGAGUGAGGAAUACAUCGGAAUCUACUUUUUCGUGGGGGAUAACGUAGGGAAACUUACGCUAAUACCGCAUACGACCUACGGGUGAAAGCAGGGGAUCUUCGGACCUUGCGCGAUUGAAUGAGCCGAUGUCGGAUUAGCUAGUUGGCGGGGUAAAGGCCCACCAAGGCGACGAUCCGUAGCUGGUCUGAGAGGAUGAUCAGCCACACUGGAACUGAGACACGGUCCAGACUCCUACGGGAGGCAGCAGUGGGGAAUAUUGGACAAUGGGCGCAAGCCUGAUCCAGCCAUACCGCGUGGGUGAAGAAGGCCUUCGGGUUGUAAAGCCCUUUUGUUGGGAAAGAAAAGCAGCAGGUUAAUACCCCGCUGUUCUGACGGUACCCAAAGAAUAAGCACCGGCUAACUUCGUG
RNAcentral lists this ribosomal RNA (492 nucleotides) under uncultured bacterium. RNAcentral's name for it is "partial 16S ribosomal RNA". It matches the Rfam family "Bacterial small subunit ribosomal RNA", at positions 29 to 507 of the family's 1533-position model. The record is from RNAcentral.